AAUUGCCCCCUGAAAAUUAGGUUCCUGAGUCUCUAUGAGAUUUGCAACCAACAAAGAAUAACUGUAAAAGAGGUGGCUCAGGAGGGAGCUGAGUGGAGAGAGUUAUCUGAACUAAUACAAGAGAUUGCUUGUACUGAUGAGGCUGAUGUGCUCAAAUGGGUUCAUGGAAAAAAUGGAGUUUAUACCUCGAAAUCGUUAUAUCAGUUGUUAACUUUUAGAGGUGUACUUGACCCCCCAAAUGAAUAUACUGUGGAGACUACCGAUCCCUCUUAA
RNAcentral lists this long non-coding RNA (273 nucleotides) under Oryza sativa aromatic subgroup. RNAcentral describes it as "lncRNA OsARC_07g0010170". The record is from RNAcentral. Lineage: Eukaryota; Viridiplantae; Streptophyta; Magnoliopsida; Poales; Poaceae.